Molecule: transfer RNA, 70 nt
Filed under: Seminavis robusta
Lineage: Eukaryota; Bacillariophyta; Bacillariophyceae; Naviculales; Naviculaceae
Rfam family: tRNA
About the family: Transfer RNA (tRNA) molecules are approximately 80 nucleotides in length.
Source: Rfam by way of RNAcentral
CCCUUGGUAGCUCAACUGGUGGAGCAGACUGUGGUUCUGAAGGUUAUUGGUUCAAGUCCAAUCCAAGGGA